AUACGGAGGGUGCAAGUGUUAUUCGGAAUCACUGGGCGUAAAGGACGCGUAGGCGGGUUGGCAAGUCAGAUGUGAAAUCCUACAGCUUAACUGUAGAACUGCAUUUGAAACUGCUAACCUAGAGUAUGGGAGGGGGAGAUGGAAUUAGUGGUGUAGGGGUAAAAUCCGUAGAUAUCACUAGGAAUACCGAAAGCGAAGGCGAUCUCCUGGAACAUAACUGACGCUAAGGCGUGAAAGCGUGGGGAGCAAACAGGAUUAGAUACCCUUGUAGUCC
Molecule: ribosomal RNA, 274 nt
Filed under: uncultured bacterium
Lineage: Bacteria
Description: partial 16S ribosomal RNA
Rfam family: Bacterial small subunit ribosomal RNA
Source: RNAcentral